GAAAGCUUAAAUUAUUGUUAAUCUAACUGCAGUGUCCAAUUUACAGUAGAUAUUACAGCGAAAAAAUACCAUGCUAUUGUUUGAGGAUAGUGCACAACAACAACACAUUUUUAUCACGGCAACUAGUUUUAUACAUUCACCUCUGAAGGUAUAUAAUGUACUUACAUUCAGUAAUCUUGCUCUAAUUUGUCAUCCUGAGGGUCCCGGAGAAAAACUGUAGCGUAGUUUUGUUUGAUAAAAUCCAUUUUUAUAUUAAAAUGUAGGAACUGGGUUCUACAGUUUGCUGUCUCUGGCUCCACACCUACCCCGUCCGGCCAUCUAGAUGUGUGAAGGUUAGUGUCUUUUCUGUUGGGAAGCUAAUGAUCCAUCAUGUAUGACAUUCCUGGGAGUGUGUAAACUUACAUUUUUAUUACCAUAGCAUUUUUGUAUGUUCUCUAUAGUUAUGUACUUGAAAAUGUAUAAAUUUACCAAUUCGGCACAUUUGGGCAAACUCCUGGCAGGCUUGAUACAAAAUAUUGUGGAGUCACUGGAUCAGUCUGAAACUUUGCACACUGCCAUCUUGUGGACAACAUCUAAAUUACAACUAUAAUCCUAAUCAGUAUCUGGUCUCUCUCUUGCAUUUCAAAGAUGCAAAAAACACGUUUUUUUGUUUGUAUUAUCUUUUACCAGAUCUAAUGUGUUAAAUUCUCCUACAUUCAUUUCACAUUUACACAAACUUCAAAGUGUUUCCUUUAAAUUGGUAUCAAUAAUAUGCAUAUCCUUGCUUCAGGGCCUGAGCUACAGGCAGUUAGAUUUGGGUAUGUCAUUUUAGGCGGAAAUUGAAAAAAAAAAAGGGUCCGAUCCUUAAGAGGAGUAAGAGUACAUCUUGCACUAGCCAACAGGCAAACAAUUCUACCAGCUAAGAGAACAAAUAAGUUACAGAUGUAACAAGAUAACUAUCUCUAGCAAAGUCUCAGAAGCAAGCAGUAAUUAUAGUAAACAAUCCCAUAAAAUAUAAGCCCGCAAUUUACAUUGCAGAUGCUCUUCUAGAAUACACACUGAUAACUUUGGUCGGCAGCCAAAUUUGCAUCGUCAUCUAAUAUGGUGUAAUUGUAGACUGAAUAUGGAGUAAUUGUAGACUGAAUAUGGAGUAAUUGCAGACCGUACCCCGGGGCGUUUCUUGUUCUACUAAACUAAUGGUGAAGAGGGAGAGAUGCCAGCGGAGAGGCAUGAAUUGCGCAAGAAGCUCAGUGAUGGGGUGUAGCACUGAUGAGAGGCCCGGAAAGAAUUUCCCCAAGUAGUUCACCAGUCCCAGCAUUUGGCGAAGCUCAGUGAUGUUUGUUGGACUGGGCAUCUCGGAGACGGCUUUCACAAUGAUGUCAUCCGGCUUUAUCCCAUCCAAGUACAGGAUCUCCGACUUCCCACAGUGGCACUUGUCUUUGUUCAGCUUUAGUCCUGACUCUUUGAUGGUCUGUAGCACUUGGCUCAGAUUCGUGUCACGGUCUUCCUUAUUUGCACCGUAGACCAGCAUGUCAUCGAUCACGACAACUGUGCCCUCGUGUCCUCUCAGGAGCUUGCUCAUCUCCCUCGGAAAGCUCUCUGGCGCGCUGUGUAUUCCAAAAGGAAGGCGCUUUUUGGGGGAAAAAGUUUUGCCCAUGCUGCAGAGGGCUGUAUCAGUCCACUAAUACAGGACUAUUAAAGGCCCAGCACUGCAGAGGGCUGUAUCAGUCCACUAAUACAGGACUAUUAAAGGACCAGCACUGCAGAGGGCUGUAUCAGUCCACUAAUACAGGACUAUUAAAGGACCAGCACUGCAG
This 1796-nucleotide long non-coding RNA is filed under the name Salmo salar (Atlantic salmon). RNAcentral's name for it is "lncRNA (ENSSSAG00000094158.1, ENSSSAG00000117596.1)". The record is from RNAcentral. Lineage: Eukaryota; Metazoa; Chordata; Actinopteri; Salmoniformes; Salmonidae.